GGCACUUCUUCAUGCUGCCUUGCGAAGAAGCUGGCUUGCUUCCUCUUUGUCUUCCGCCAUGAUUGUAGAUUUCCUGAGGCCUCCCAAGCUGUGCUGAACUACCAAACCAAUGCAGACCAAACCAAUGCAGAACUCCUAUGUGCUGAUGGUGGUCUUACAUUUCCCUAAGUUUCUGCCGACUAAACUGUGCACACGUUCUCAGGACCUCCUGAAGCUGCGUCACAGGCACUAAUCAAAGAACACAACCAAGAGUUUGGCCUUUUCUUCAGCACUGGGAAUUGUGAUCCAAAGCUUUUCCUGAUGAAGCACAAAGUUGGAGAAAAAAAACGCAAACUAAACAACAACAAUGAAACAGAACAGAGUGAAUCUGCUGUAGCUCAAGAGAGGACGUAGCUGCCCCCACUCCGCAUCCCCGGGCUCGGGUUUGCCUUGCUGACCUCUGCUGCCACCUGGUGCCGCACAGAGAAACUGAGGAGAAACCACAUCAGUCUCCUUCAGCCUCAGCUUCACAUCUGUGGGUCAAGUAACCCUUUCAGAAGCUGAAUAAUGUGGGAAAGCUUUCCUCUCAGGAAAAUGCACACAUCCAACUUUGAGAAGAUGCCCUUGGGGGCGCUUCAAGGAUUCUAGAUAAUAACCCCCUUUCCCGAACAUCCAAGAACCUAAGAUUUUUUUUUUUUUUUUGAGAAAGUCUCGCUCUCUCUCCCAGUCUGGAGUGCAGUGGCGUGAUCUUGGCUCACUGCCAGCUCCACCUCCCAGGUUCACGCCAUUCUCCUGCUUCAGCCUCCCUAGUAGCUGGGGCUACAGGCACCUGCCACCAAACCCGGCUAAUUUUUUUGUAUUUUUAGUAGAGACGGGGUUUCACCGUGUUAGCCAGGAUCGUCUUGAUCUCCUGACCUUGUGAUCCACCCGCCUCGGCCUCCCAAAUUGCUGGGAUUACAGAUGUGAGCCACCGCACCUGGUCCAAGAGCCCAAGUUUUAGAUCUAGAGUGAUGUCAGCAUGACAUUGAUUUCCUGAGGCCCAGGGGCGAAGGAGCUGAGGACAGCAGAGGGGUGAAGGAACUCAGCUACAGACAGCAGCAGCUGAUGCACAGGCCUCCCAGCGCCUGAAGUCACCCGGAAUUGGGAAGUGCUCAGAAGCUUACAAAGCUGCCUCGAGCAGAAGAAUCCCAGACUUCUUAGAGAACCCAGUGACUUUUUGCACCUUAAAUCUGUGAAAUCCUCAUGCUUUCUUCUGCCGUAUCCAUCGUUCAAACAAACAUGAGGCAAAGCUAGACACAUUCCUGAAGGAACCCAAGAAAUUCCUCUCUUUCUCUCUCUGGAAUGAAAUGAAUUCUCUAGACCACCAGUUCUAACCUUCAAAAACGAAACCUGUUUGUGAGAUCUCCUUCAAAUACUACUGUAGACCCCAGUGUUUAUUCAUUAAAUUUUUUAAACAUUUGUUUUAUUUGGAAUCAAAGUAUUUGUAAUUUUAGUAUUUGUAUUAAUAUAAGGGAGAAAUGUUUAAAUCUGUCUAUGCCACAUGUGCCUUCGGCUUAUUGCCCAAUUAAUUGUAGCCUCAGGCUAAACUUUGGUUUCUGUCUUUAAUUUUUGUCGGAAGAAAUAUAACUGGUCUCAAAA
Molecule: long non-coding RNA, 1617 nt
Filed under: Homo sapiens (human)
Lineage: Eukaryota; Metazoa; Chordata; Mammalia; Primates; Hominidae
Description: family with sequence similarity 157 member C
Source: RNAcentral